RNAcentral lists this unclassified non-coding RNA (253 nucleotides) under uncultured bacterium. RNAcentral's name for it is "partial 16S ribosomal RNA". It matches the Rfam family "Bacterial small subunit ribosomal RNA", at positions 524 to 776 of the family's 1533-position model. RNAcentral also lists the same sequence under 1 other name. The record is from RNAcentral.
UACGUAGGUGGCGAGCGUUAUUCGGAUUUAUUGGGCGUAAAGGGUCCGCAGGGGGUUUGUCAAGUCUGGUGUGAAAGUCCGCAGCUUAACUGCGGGAUUGCAUUGGAAACUGGCAGACUAGAGCCUGGGAGAGGAGAGUGGAAUUCCUGGUGUAGCGGUGGAAUGCGUAGAUAUCAGGAGGAACAUCGAUGGCGAAGGCAGCUCUCUGGCCCAGCGCUGACCCUCAUGGACGAAAGCUGGGGGAGCAAACAGG